GGGCUGUGCAGGCGCUGCCGCCUGCGGCGCAUUGUGUAAUGGCACAGGCUUGAUGCUCUUUAGCAGGUCCGCUGGCAGCUCCUUUCGGUUCUGUGUGGCAGCAGACAACGAGUCAUGGCUUCAGCAGAACUGGUCAUCCAAAGCCAACCAUACACACCCGUUUGGCAUGACUCUAGAACCGUGCAAACUAUCGUCCGCAAAUUCGCGCAGCAGGUGAGCUGGCACAGGCUUCAAAUAACAUACCUUGAUGUUGCGGAAUGCCAGAAUCUGGUUCCGCAGCGUGUACAGCUGACCGUCCGUGAAGAUGUUGCUUGUGGCCUGAUUGCUGCUCGACGCAUCAACCGCUUGCGCUGGCGUGGAGGCAGCUGCAGCAUCGCCUUGCUGCAUGGUCCCUUCGAUGCGUGCCCAGGCAGAGCUUCAGCACUUCAGCAGCUCCCAGCAAUGCCCCCUGCUUGGCGCCAUU
This 463-nucleotide long non-coding RNA is filed under the name Coccomyxa subellipsoidea. RNAcentral's name for it is "long non-coding RNA (CSUB_LNC000523)". The record is from RNAcentral. Lineage: Eukaryota; Viridiplantae; Chlorophyta; Trebouxiophyceae; Coccomyxaceae.